RNAcentral lists this non-coding RNA (240 nucleotides) under Porphyromonas sp. COT-239 OH1446. RNAcentral also lists the same sequence under 1 other name. The record is from RNAcentral. Lineage: Bacteria; Pseudomonadati; Bacteroidota; Bacteroidia; Bacteroidales; Porphyromonadaceae.
AAUUUUGCAAUGUCUUGCGGUAAGGGCGUAAGCUCUGCAAGGGAAUCUGGUGUAAAACCAGAACAGUACCCGCUACUGUAAGUCGCAUGCCACAAGGUGAGGCCUUCGAUGCUCUCGGGCCUAGAUACCUUGCCUGUGGAUAGCUCCCUCGAACGAAUAGCCACUGGGGUCUUUGAGCCCUGGGAAGGCUCGAGAAGUGAAGCGACAAGUCAGGAGACCUGCCACGAGACAAUGAUGCCA